Molecule: transfer RNA, 72 nt
Organism: Camelus ferus (Wild Bactrian camel)
Lineage: Eukaryota; Metazoa; Chordata; Mammalia; Artiodactyla; Camelidae
Rfam family: tRNA
About the family: Transfer RNA (tRNA) molecules are approximately 80 nucleotides in length. Their secondary structure includes four short double-helical elements and three loops (D, anti-codon, and T loops). Further hydrogen bonds mediate the characteristic L-shaped molecular structure. tRNAs have two regions of fundamental functional importance: the anti-codon, which is responsible for specific mRNA codon recognition, and the 3' end, to which the tRNAs corresponding amino acid is attached (by aminoacyl-tRNA synthetases). tRNAs cope with the degeneracy of the genetic code in two manners: having more than one tRNA (with a specific anti-codon) for a particular amino acid; and 'wobble' base-pairing, i.e. permitting non-standard base-pairing at the 3rd anti-codon position.
Source: Rfam
GUGGGUAUAGCUCAGUGGUAGAGCAUGUGCUUAGUGUGCAUGAGAUCUGGGGUUUAAUCCCUAAUACCGCCA